AUCCCUGUCCCUCCCGGGGCACUGUUCUUUUCAAGAGAAAAAGUAAUAGGAGCUUUGGUGGCUUAGUCUGAUUCUGUGCUUGGAAGGUAACAGCAACCCGCCAUCAGGCAUCGUGUGGGGUAUUUCUGGGAGGGACUUCUUAUGAGCCUGAGACUCAGCCAGGGAAAGGAUGGGGUGAUCUUCAUUAGUGCACGCCUGUUGGAAGCUACUUUCCACACACAGUUAUACCUGAGCCCAUCAGCCUGAAGGUACUCCUAGCAGCUCAAGUCAGAGGGGAAGAAGAAGGACCCACAUCUCCUCUCCACUGAGCACGAUGGGAGCCUGGAAGGAUCUUACUACAGGCAUACCCCUUUGGCUGCAUGUAUCACCCAAUUAACUCUCUGUGCAGGGCAGAAAGGGGGAACAGCAAGCAGAUCCUCUUGGGUAGGCGUCCUGUUCCCUGCCUGCCCUAGUUGGAGCUGUUUGCUGUUGGUAGGACAGAGUUUCACAGUCAAAUUGAUUGUUGAACCACAGCAAAGACAUGAGAAGUCCUAGAAAUCUCUGGCUACAUCUGGGCUGUCAGUGCUCACAUGGAGACAAAUUCUGCCAUAGCCACUCUGAAGGAGGACAGAGUUGCAAGAGGGAGGAUGAAAUAUCCAGAAGAUGGGAAAAUAUCCAGAAGAGUAGAAAAUUUGUACACUGCAAGAGGCUCAUCUCUUCUUUCUAUGAAAGAACCUGAUGAGGAAGCUCAAGCAGUGCAAAACACUACUCCUGGCACUGAACUGCAGCACAAUGCACUGGGGAACAGUUUGUGGCUGGAAAAAGAUGGUAUGUAGAGAUCUUGCAGCCCCUAGUAAUGAAGCUAAGAUAGUGAAUGUGAGGUGGUGGUCUUGUCCACUGUGUGGUCUUCAGCUCCUCAAACUCUAGAAGAUCUGCCCUGUUGUGCAGGAGCUGAUGUGACUCCUUUUAUAUGAGAAAACAGCAAAUGUGGGCUGAUGGAAAUUCCUGCCUUGCCUACAGGUAGUGUUAAGAUGGUUGCAUUUGUUUGGAGGGAAGAAGCGCACGUUCCUCUCCGAAACUCUUAUCUGUAUUUUUGCAACAGUCAAGACGUUGCAAACAUCUUGCAAACAUGAAGACCAUGCUAAACAUUAAGGUCGUGACUAUGGAAGUGUUAGGACUGACUCCAAGCCAGGCUUUCAGAUCCACCCAUUUGUGGUGCACGGCAGGGUCACGGCCGAGCAGAGCGUGCCGCAAGCCCGUCCUUACAGGUAAAUACGUGAGAUUGGAUAAUGCUCUCGCGGACUGAGCUGUCAUGCUCAUUUAAUGCUAUGGAACCCAGCAGAGUCCUGUCUGAAAGCACAGCUGGACGUGGACCUCGGUGUUUGCAGAACGACCCCGAGACUCCCUGGCCAACCAGCUAGGAAUGCAGCUCAUGAGUCAUUUCCAUGCAGAAAACAAACAAAGAAAAGCGAGACAUACUCGUGAAUAGUCGAGCUCCCUGGGCGUGGAGUCGGUUAAAGCUCGUACGAGGGCGUUCAUCAUGCUGAUGGGAGGAGAAGGCGGGGAGGGCUGCGAAGGUUCCUGCUGCAGGGGGCUCUUUGGUUUGGAAGGCAGCCGACCUCUUCUCCCUUUCAGGCUGUCCGUGCGGACAACUGCAUAGAAAAGAAGCGUGUCGGUGGUAAGGACACGGUAAAACGACAGAGCAGCAUGAGCACCUGCUUCCCCUGCGAUGGCCAGCCCAGCAAAAAUAAGAGCAUUCUCCAAUUUCAGCACACUGUUGAUGCCUUUGAUGGCAAAGAAACACAAACGGUACCAAAACUGAUUUCAACUAUGACCGUAAGCAGCAGAAUAACUGCUUCCUUGGAGCCCAGCUGUGUUUCUAGUGCUCAUGCUUUGUUUGCAGCACACCUGUGUACCCCUAUAUGCACACAUACAGCCCUACUGCUGAAUGAAAACACAGUUUGAAACACAAACGUCACCUGCUAUAUGGCAGGGCUGUUCUUUCACAGUAACUUUAGCUUUCUCAAAGCAGUCAAAAAAUAUGGUCACACUAUAUAGGCUGUAUUUCCCAUGUCAGUAUUUGCAAUAGGACUGCUCACACAGUAUUACUCACAUACUUAAAUAUUUGCAGAACAGGGACUAAUGAGUUGAUCCAGUUUCCAUUUAAAUUAAUUGCAAAUUUACAAUCAGCUCAUGGCCACGAGACAAGAUCCUAUGCAAAAAGGCACCCAAGACAACAAAACACUGAUGCUACAAGAUAACGUGCGGAAGCCAACUGCAUUAACGAAUGGCAUUCAGAGUUCAUAAAGGACACAUUUUGGCCAGAGUCAAAUUAUCCCCUUGUGACCUUGCAAUCCUUGAACUCUGGGCUCCCAGAAAGUCUAAACAUGUUAAACCCACUCAACUGGGCAACAGGAAAAAAAAUAAUCAAUGAUGUGUUGUUGUACAGAUGCACGAAUUGGAGGGGCAGCUAGGAAGCUAAUUUCCAAGUCCGUAGUAAAGACAUCUACGUCCACACACACACACACAC
Long non-coding RNA from Lagopus leucura (white-tailed ptarmigan), 2509 nucleotides. RefSeq lists it as uncharacterized. The transcript has 4 exons. Lineage: Eukaryota; Metazoa; Chordata; Aves; Galliformes; Phasianidae. The record is from RefSeq and is a predicted model, not a curated record.